Molecule: ribosomal RNA, 497 nt
Filed under: uncultured bacterium
Lineage: Bacteria
Description: partial 16S ribosomal RNA
Rfam family: Bacterial small subunit ribosomal RNA
Source: RNAcentral
GAUGAACGCUGGCGGCGUGCCUAAUACAUGCAAGUCGAGCGAACAGACGAUGAGCUUGCUCCUCUGACGUUAGCGGCGGACGGGUGAGUAACACGUGGAUAACCUACCUAUAAGACUGGUAUAACUUCGGGAAACCGGAUCUAAUACCGGAUAAUAUAUUGAACCGCAUGGUUCAAUAGUGAAAGACGGUUUUGCUGUCACUUAUAGAUGGAUCCGCGCCGCAUUAGCUAGUUGGUAAGGUAACGGCUUACCAAGGCAACGAUGCGUAGCCGACCUGAGAGGGUGGUAGGCCACACUGGAACUGAGACACGGUCAAGACUCCUACGGGAGGCAGCAGUAGGGAAUCUUCCGCAAUGGGCGAAAGCAUGACGGAGCAACGGCGAGUGAGUGAUGAAGGUCUUCGGAUCGUAAAACUCUGUUAUUAGGGAAGAACAAAUGUGUAAGUAAAUAUGGACGUAUUGACGGUACCUAAUAAGAAAGCACCGGCUAACUACGUG